This 221-nucleotide ribosomal RNA is filed under the name uncultured bacterium. Its description in RNAcentral is "partial 16S ribosomal RNA". It matches the Rfam family "Bacterial small subunit ribosomal RNA", at positions 113 to 334 of the family's 1533-position model. The record is from RNAcentral.
CGACGUGGGUAACCUGCCUCAUACAGGGGGAUAACAGUUAGAAAUGACUGCUAAUACCGCAUAAGCGCACAGUGCUGCAUGGCACAGUGUGAAAAACUCCGGUGGUAUGAGAUGGACUCGCGUCUGAUUAGCUAGUUGGUGGGGUAACGGCCUACCAAAGCGACGAUCAGUAGCCGGCCUGAGAGGGUGAACGGCCACAUUGGGACUGAGACAUGGCCCAA